ACGCUGACAGAAUGCUUAACACAUGCAAGUCGAUGAUGGGAGCUAGCUUGCUAGAAGAAGUCAUGGCGGACGGGUGAGUAACGUGUAAAGAACUUACCAUAUAGACUGGGAUAACAGAGGGAAACUUCUGAUAAUACUGGAUAAGUUAGUAGUAGCAUUACUAAGUAAUGAAAGGUAGUAAUACGCUAUAUGAGAGCUUUGCAUCCUAUUAGCUAGUUGGUGGGGUAAAAGCCUACCAAGGCGAUGAUAGGUAGCCGGCCUGAGAGGGUGGACGGCCACAAGGGGACUGAGAUACGGCCCUUACUCCUACGGGAGGCAGCAGUGGGGAAUAUUGGACAAUGGAGGCAACUCUGAUCCAGCAAUUCUGUGUGUGUGAAGAAGGUUUUAGGACUGUAAAACACUUUUAGUAGGGAAGAAAGAAAUGACGGUACCUACAGAAGAAGCGACGGCUAAAUACGUGCCAGCAGCCGCGGUAAUACGUAUGUCGCGAGCGUUAUCCGGAAUUAUUGGGCUUAAAGGGCAUCUAGGCGGUUAAACAAGUUGAAGGUGAAAACCUGUGGCUCAACCAUAGGCUUGCCUACAAAACUGUAUAACUAGAGUACUGGAAAGGCGGGUGGAACUACACGAGUAGAGGUGAAAUUCGUAGAUAUGUGUAGGAAUGCCGAUGAUGAAGAUAACUCACUGGACAGCAACUGACGCUGAAGUGCGAAAGCUAGGG
Molecule: ribosomal RNA, 718 nt
Filed under: uncultured Sneathia sp.
Lineage: Bacteria; Fusobacteriati; Fusobacteriota; Fusobacteriia; Fusobacteriales; Leptotrichiaceae
Description: bacterial SSU rRNA
Rfam family: Bacterial small subunit ribosomal RNA
Source: RNAcentral